RNAcentral lists this ribosomal RNA (253 nucleotides) under uncultured prokaryote. Its description in RNAcentral is "partial 16S ribosomal RNA". It matches the Rfam family "Bacterial small subunit ribosomal RNA", at positions 524 to 776 of the family's 1533-position model. The record is from RNAcentral.
UACGGAGGAUGCAAGCGUUAUCCGGAAUGAUUGGGCGUAAAGCGUCCGUAGGUGGCGAUUCAAGUCUGCUGUUAAAGCGCAGGGCUUAACCCUGUAAAGGCGGUGGAAACUGGAGAGCUAGAGUGUGGUAGGGGUAGAGGGAAUUCCCGGUGUAGCGGUGAAAUGCGUAGAGAUCGGGAAGAACACCAGUGGCGAAGGCGCUCUACUGGGCCAUAACUGACACUGAUGGACGAAAGCUAGGGGAGCGAAUGGG